UAUUAAUUUGUAAACGAUCUCACUACUAUUGUAACGUUUAGUCCGUCCUUACUAGUGUGCUCCACGUUCUUUCUCAGGUCUAUGGACUCAUCCCUGUCCGACGAUCGGUCCGCCAAAUCUAAGAGGUUUUAAAGACUUGUUAACGAUCCUACAAAUCACUAUACGAUAUUUCAUCAUGUUUUAUCCUCAUUUACAUGGUUCUGAUAAUCAUUUCUCGGAAGGUCACCUAUCUUAAAACUACUUCGACUCAAACACGUUUAACUGUGGAGUUCUCCGCAUAAAUUAAUUAUUUUAUUCUCUAUAAAAGUUAUAGAAAUGGUCUCGUCAUUGUACUGAUUGACAUCAUCAACUGGAGAGACAUCAACUUUGGGAGCUGCCAAUCUCAGAAGAAGUUUAUCUCCUUUACAUGCCGAGGUGGAAGCUCUCCUCUGGGCGAUGAAGUGUAUGAUUGGUGCCGACAACCAAGAUGUAGUUUUUCUUACAGACUGUUCAGAUCUGGUGGAGAUGGUGUCUUCCCCAACCGAAUGGCCGGCUUUCUCAUCGUAUUUGGAGGAGUUACAGAGCGACAAGGAUGAGUUCACAAACUUUUUUCUAUCUUUAAUCUCUCGUAGUACUAAUGUUAAAGCGGAUUUUUUGGCACGAAAAGUUCGUACCCAACCGCUUCAUAUUACAUCUGUAAACAACAUUCCUCAGGAUUGGCUCGUUUGAGUCCUAAUUAAUUUUCGGAUGACAAAAAAAAAAGGUCUCGUCAUUGUUAAUUAUUAUUCUAAUUGACUAUUCCCAUUAAAGCAAUCAUAGAGUUACUUAAGUUUGACAUUCAUAAAUUUAUGCGACUAUGAUUAAUUAU
Molecule: small RNA, 847 nt
Filed under: Arabidopsis thaliana (thale cress)
Lineage: Eukaryota; Viridiplantae; Streptophyta; Magnoliopsida; Brassicales; Brassicaceae
Description: ATSL196340
Source: RNAcentral